This 292-nucleotide ribosomal RNA is filed under the name uncultured bacterium. Its description in RNAcentral is "partial 16S ribosomal RNA". The record is from RNAcentral. RNAcentral also lists the same sequence under 2 other names.
GGACUACCGGGGUAUCUAAUCCCGUUUGCUACCCUAGCUUUCGUGCAUCAGCGUCAGAAGAGACCCAGUAAGCCGCUUUCGCCACCGGUGUUCCUGAGGAUAUCAACGCAUUUCACCGCUCCACCCUCAGUUCCGCUUACCUCUGUCUCCCUCAAGCACGGUAGUUUUGAACGCAGUUCCUCAGUUAAGCUGAGGUAUUUCACGCCCAACUUUCCGCACAGCCUACGCACCCUUUAAGCCCAGUAAUUCCGAAUAACGUUCGUACGGUUCGUCUUACCGCGGCUGCUGGCAC